UAACCUAAUUAAUAUUAACAUUAUUAAUUCAAAUUUCUAAGAUAAUUGAAAACAUUAAAAAAAUUAGUAACGGGGAUUAAAAGUUGUGUAGUAAUUAAAGAGUAUUGCGAAAGAAAAAUAGAAAAUUGAAAAAAAGAAGAAAUUAAAUUUUGUACCUUUUGUAUCAUGGUUUAACUAGAUUAUUUUUUAUAUAAAAUUUCUCGAAACCUAAUGAGCUAUUCUUGAUAACUUUUUAGAGAAAAAAGAGUAGUUGUAGCAAAAACUUUCUGAUAAUUAAGAAUAGAAAUGAAAUUUUAUUCGUAUUAGGUGAUAGCUAGUUUACUACUAAAGACAUAGAAGUGUUUUAAAUUAAAUUUUUAGGUUAUUUUUAAAAUUGAAUAAAAUAUAAUUUACUUAAAUCUUUGAGGAUAAGCUCGAUGAUAAAUUAGUUUUUAGCAUACUUAUUUAGAUAUUAAAUUUUAGCUUGAAAAUAGCUCUUAUUAGGAUUUUGUUAUAAUUACAUUAAUUUCUAAUUGAAUAUAAUCACUUUGCUAAAUAUAAAAUAGUAGUAUAACUCUAUAUACCACUAAAGAUUAAAUUUAUGUUAAAAUGAGUAUCUGUAAAUUAUUGAAACAAAAAAUUCAUGAACAUAAAACUGAAAUAAGUUUAUAUUAAUAAAUCCAAAAGAACGGAACUCGGCAAAAUAAUAUUCUGCCUGUUUAGCAAAAACAUGGCUCUCUGUAAAAAAUAAAUAGAGAGUCGGNCCUGCCCGGUGAUGAUUUUUAACGGCCGCGGUACCCUGACCGUGCAAAGGUAGCAUAAUCAUUUGCCUUGUAAUUUAAGGCUAGUAUGAAGGGUUUGACAAGAGUAUAACUGUCUCCUUUUGGUUUGAUAAAACUUUACUUAUAAGUGAAGAGACUUAUAUAUAAUUAAUAGACAAGAAGACCCUAUCGAGCUUGAAAUCAGUUGGUAGAAAUAAAUAGAAAUAAAUAUAUAAAAUCAAAUUAUUAAAAAUUUUGGUUGGGGCGACUAAGGAACAAGCAAAGCUUCCUAUUUUAUCUGAACUUUCAAGUAAUGAUCCAGAAAAAUUCUGAUUAAAGAAAAUAGUUACCGUAGGGAUAACAGCAUUAUCUUUUUUGAGAGUUCUUAUCGAAAAAAAGGUUUGUGACCUCGAUGUUGGACCAGAAUACCCCAAAGAUGCAGAAGUCUUUAAAGGUUGGUCUGUUCGACCAUUAAAAUUCUACGUGAUCUGA
RNAcentral lists this ribosomal RNA (1232 nucleotides) under Vexillum plicarium. RNAcentral describes it as "16S ribosomal RNA". The stretch from base 591 to 1232 matches the Rfam family "Archaeal large subunit ribosomal RNA", at positions 1423 to 2677 of the family's 2987-position model. The record is from RNAcentral. Lineage: Eukaryota; Metazoa; Mollusca; Gastropoda; Neogastropoda; Costellariidae.